This 201-nucleotide ribosomal RNA is filed under the name uncultured bacterium. RNAcentral's name for it is "partial 16S ribosomal RNA". It matches the Rfam family "Bacterial small subunit ribosomal RNA", at positions 334 to 526 of the family's 1533-position model. The record is from RNAcentral.
UACUCCUACGGGAGGCAGCAGUGGGGAAUAUUGCACAAUGGGGGGAACCCUGAUGCAGCCAUGCCGCGUGUAUGAAGAAGGCCUUCGGGUUGUAAAGGACUUUUGUUAGGGAAGAAAAGCCGGGUGCUAAUACCACCUGGUGCUGACGGUACCUAAAGAAUAAGCACCGGCUAACUACGUGCCAGCAGCCGCGGUAAUAAU